GCCUUAGGCAUUCUUCGAGUCAUCCCCAUCUCUACAUCUCUGCAUCCCCCAGACCAGCCUAGGUUAGCUCCAGAACUUUCUCUAUUUCCACGGCUUUGUUUAUAGACUGUGCCGAUCCUCCUUCGUUGCAGAUAUGGGUGCGGACGUGGCUCGAAUGUUAGCCAAGAAUCUCAAAGCCCACAAGAGGGAAGGUGCUACAACUUCCGAGUCGGCGAAGAAGGCGAGGGUAGAAGAGACAGAUCCGAUCAUAUUUCGCCUUGAUUGCCC
This 267-nucleotide long non-coding RNA is filed under the name Elaeis guineensis (African oil palm). RNAcentral describes it as "long non-coding RNA (EGUI_LNC072223)". Lineage: Eukaryota; Viridiplantae; Streptophyta; Magnoliopsida; Arecales; Arecaceae. The record is from RNAcentral.